GGUGGUAAUGCCGGAUGCUCCGACUCCUCGCAUGGGGUGUCGGGAAAGAUUUCAUCGGUAUGGGAUGGGGUCGCGUCCUAUCAGGUAGUCGGCGGGGUAACGGCCCACCGAGCCUACGACGGGUAGCCGGCCUGAGAGGGCGACCGGCCACAUUGGGACUGAGAUACGGCCCAGACUCCUACGGGAGGCAGCAGUGGGGAAUAUUGCACAAUGGGCGCAAGCCUGAUGCAGCGACGCCGCGUGCGGGAUGACGGCCUUCGGGUUGUAAACCGCUUUUGAUCGGGAGCAAGCCUUCGGGUGAGUGUACCUUUCGAAUAAGCACCGGCUAACUACGUGCCAGCAGCCGCGGUAAUACGUAGGGUGCAAGCGUUAUCCGGAAUUAUUGGGCGUAAAGGGCUCGUAGGCGGUUCGUCGCGUCCGGUGUGAAAGUCCAUCGCUUAACGGUGGAUCUGCGCCGGGUACGGGCGGGCUGGAGUGCGGUAGGGGAGACUGGAAUUCCCGGUGUAACGGUGGAAUGUGUAGAUAUCGGAAAAAAAACACCACCC
Molecule: ribosomal RNA, 545 nt
Filed under: Bifidobacterium catenulatum
Lineage: Bacteria; Bacillati; Actinomycetota; Actinomycetes; Bifidobacteriales; Bifidobacteriaceae
Also listed under: 1 other name
Description: partial 16S ribosomal RNA
Rfam family: Bacterial small subunit ribosomal RNA
Source: RNAcentral